GGAGACUGCCGGUGUCAAACCGGAGGAAGGUGGGAUGACGUCAAGUCCUCAUUGGCCCUUAUGACCAGGGCUACACACGUGCUACAAUGGCCGGUACAAAGAGUUGCGAUACCGUGAGGUGGAGCCAAUCUCAUAAAGCCGGUCUCAGUUCGGAUUGGAGUCUGCAACUCGACUCCAUGAAGUUGGAAUCGCUAGUAAUCGCGGAUCAGCAUGCCGCGGUGAAUACGUUCCCGGGCCUU
This 239-nucleotide ribosomal RNA is filed under the name uncultured Geobacter sp. Its description in RNAcentral is "partial 16S ribosomal RNA". It matches the Rfam family "Bacterial small subunit ribosomal RNA", at positions 1144 to 1382 of the family's 1533-position model. The record is from RNAcentral. Lineage: Bacteria; Pseudomonadati; Thermodesulfobacteriota; Desulfuromonadia; Geobacterales; Geobacteraceae.